AGACCAUGAAGAGGGUAAUGCUGAAGUAAAUCCUUGUAUCUCUCCAAGCCUCACACAAUGAUUCAGAGUCAAGUUGCAUGAAAGAAGUAAUAUCAUUUCUCAUCUU
Molecule: small nucleolar RNA, 106 nt
Filed under: Theobroma cacao (cacao)
Lineage: Eukaryota; Viridiplantae; Streptophyta; Magnoliopsida; Malvales; Malvaceae
Description: Plant small nucleolar RNA R71
Rfam family: Plant small nucleolar RNA R71
About the family: R71 is a member of the C/D box family of snoRNAs containing the C (UGAUGA) and D (CUGA) box motifs.
Source: Rfam by way of RNAcentral